Molecule: unclassified non-coding RNA, 1018 nt
Filed under: Hevea brasiliensis (rubber tree)
Lineage: Eukaryota; Viridiplantae; Streptophyta; Magnoliopsida; Malpighiales; Euphorbiaceae
Source: RNAcentral
GCUUUAUGCAAGUUCAAAAAAAAAAUAAUAGGUUUUACUCUAAUCAAAAUCCAAAAGAAUUCACCAACCAACCAAUUCAAUUUCUCCCAAUUUUUCUUUCCCACUCAAAUGAAGAUCCUAGUUUUGAUGAUAUUGAACCCAUUUUUUUUUCUACUAAUUCCGCAUCACGAGUAAGAUUGAAAUGAAAGAUAAAAGAUUUCACUGUUUCAGAGACGGAGAAGAAGAAGAAGUAAGCAAAUCACAUCAAUUAUACAAAUAAUUAAAUGGUCAUAAUAAACAUGAUGAGAAAUGAAAAAUCAUAAAGCAAAAGUCCCUCAACCUCUUUCUGUCCACAAUUACAAAUUUACAAUCCCAAUAUUAGCCAAUAUCAAAGAAGACCCAAAUCUAAUUGUGGACAACAAAGAGCCUAACGAGAGCAAAUAACUCAGAAUAUACCCAUUUCAAGAACCCAAAGAAAGAUUCGAAAAAAAAAAAAUUCAAAACCCAUUUAGAAGAGAAGCCCAAAAGCAAGAGCUGCAAGAGAUGCGAAAACAGUAGGUACAAAUACGUUAGCAUCAGAGGCAGGGCUAGGAGAUGGGGCUUCCUGAGCUCCCACAUUCUGAACAGUACAAACAGCCAUGAGAACAACCACAAUAGCCAAAAAUACUCUCAUCUUCAAUGCCUCCAUUGCAAAUUUUUUUUUCCUGUUUGGUAGGUGAGAAAAACAAAACUUUCCCAACAAAAUUAUGUAUAUUGAAUAGAAGAUGGAAAAUUUUGUGGAGGCAAAAGGAAGUGCUGCACUGCUGGUGGGUUGGCAGGAGCUGGGGAUGUGGAUAGUUUAUAUAGAGGAGUUGAAGGGGGUGGUGGAGACCGUUGAUGGAGGCCACAUGCAUAUGGGUUUUCUUAAUUUGGGGGUGGUAAUGGGCAAAAAAAGUGUUGCUUUGGGAGUUGGGACAGGGUGUCUUUCGCUUCUUUUGGUGCUUUCCAGCUGUUGCCAACGGUUUCUUCUCUCUUUCUCCACUUCAUAACCACCACUUUU